UGGAAACUNUCUGACUUGAGUGCAGAAGGGGAGAGUGGAAUUCCAUGUGUAGCGGUGAAAUGCGUAGAUAUAUGGAGGAACACCAGUGGCGAAAGCGGCUCUNUGGUCUGUCACUGACGCUGAGGCUCGAAAGCGUGGGUAGCGAACAGGAUUAGAUACCCUGGUAGUCCACGCCGUAAACGAUGAGUGCUAGGUGUUAGGCCCUUUCCGGGGCUUAGUGCCGGAGCUAACGCAAUAAGCACUCCGCCUGGGGAGUACGACCGCAAGGUUGAAACUCAAAGGAAUUGACGGGGGCCCGCACAAGCGGUGGAGCAUGUGGUUUAAUUCGAAGCAACGCGAAGAACCUUACCAGGUCUUGACAUCCCGAUGCUAUUCUUAGAGAUAGGAAGUUACUUCGGUACAUCGGAGACAGGUGGUGCAUGGUUGUCGUCAGCUCGUGUCGUGAGAUGUUGGGUUAAGUCCCGCAACGAGCGCAACCCUUAUUGUUAGUUGCCAUCAUUAAGUUGGGCACUCUAGCGAGACUGCCGGUAAUAAACCGGAGGAAGGUGGGGAUGACGUCAAAUCAUCAUGCCCCUUAUGACCUGGGCUACACACGUGCUACAAUGGUCGGUACAACGAGUUGCGAGCCGGUGACGGCAAGCUAAUCUCUGAAAGCCGAUCUCAGUUCGGAUUGGAGGCUGCAAC
RNAcentral lists this ribosomal RNA (684 nucleotides) under uncultured bacterium. RNAcentral's name for it is "bacterial SSU rRNA". It matches the Rfam family "Bacterial small subunit ribosomal RNA", at positions 627 to 1311 of the family's 1533-position model. The record is from RNAcentral.